Molecule: ribosomal RNA, 253 nt
Filed under: uncultured bacterium
Lineage: Bacteria
Description: partial 16S ribosomal RNA
Rfam family: Bacterial small subunit ribosomal RNA
Source: RNAcentral
UACGUAGGGCGCAAGCGUUGUCCGGAAUUAUUGGGCGUAAAGAGCUCGUAGGCGGCUUGUCACGUCGGAUGUGAAAGCCCGAGGCUUAACCUCGGGUCUGCAUUCGAUACGGGCUAGCUAGAGUGUGGUAGGGGAGAUCGGAAUUCCUGGUGUAGCGGUGAAAUGCGCAGAUAUCAGGAGGAACACCGGUGGCGAAGGCGGAUCUCUGGGCCAUUACUGACGCUGAGACGCGAAAGCGUGGGGAGCAAACAGG